AGGGAAAAAGGCUAUGACAACAGUAAAUUUUUUAAAAGGUUAAUUUCAUACAGGUCCCUAUAAAUAUAGUGAGUGACAAGUAUAUCCCUAUAAAGUUCAAUUUUCAUAUGUUCACUACAACAAAAACGGUCUAUAGCGACACUUUUAAAUGUAGGUACAUGUCAAAAAAGUGCUGCUAGCUAAAAUUACCGACACUUUUAAAAAGUGUUGCUAUAUGUGGGGUCGCUAGGUAUAUAGUGACAGUUAAAGAGUGUCGCUAUAGCCUAAAAGUGUGCUGCUAAUUUACCAACAACUUAUUUAAGCAUUUAGUAACCGCCGAAACUCUAUCUCGUUGGUUGCGGUGGCGGAGGAGGACGACAGGAAUGGCUCUUCGUCUAGAAUUUCACUGGAUUGAGUGAAGAGAGAAGAAAAUAUGGUAAUUGAUUUUUCUUUUUUUUUUUCUUUUCUGUUUGUAAUCGGACCAAAUGGAUUGGGUGUGGUGGGUUGAGUAGAGUAAUCUUUUAUUUUUGGUUGGAUUGGGGUUUAUAUUUAGGCAUUAGUAGAUAUUUUUUUAAGUUUGAGCAUAAAUGGGACACUUACUCAAAAGUGUCCCAAACAUGUGUCCCUAUAACCUAAUUCUGUUGUAGUGGUUGUCUCUGUAAAAGUCCUGAUAUUUUCAAAUAUAUUUUUUUGAUUUGUUACCGUUAGAGAACUAUUAGAAACUGUUUAUUUUUUCAAUUUUGCCAUCACGCAUGUCCCUUCAAAAAUCAUAACAGUAUAAUAUAAAAUGAGUAAAAAUAUCAAAAACUAAUCAAAAUUAAGUAUUUAACCUAUUAUUAACUAAAUUUUUCUAAUGGAUUCUAACGGCAGGGAUAUAUUUGAAAAUAUCAGGAUUUUUACAGAGACAAUAUAUGAAAGUUGAAUUUUGUAGUUAUAUAUUUGUCAUUCACUAUGUUUGCAGGAGCAUGCAUGAAAUUAGCCCUUGUUUAAAAAUGGUGGUCCAUAUGGAC
Molecule: long non-coding RNA, 989 nt
Filed under: Ananas comosus (pineapple)
Lineage: Eukaryota; Viridiplantae; Streptophyta; Magnoliopsida; Poales; Bromeliaceae
Description: long non-coding RNA (ACOM_LNC043072)
Source: RNAcentral